GCUGGCGAGGCCGGUACUGACGCUCAGGCACGAAAGCGUGGGGAUCAAACAGGAUUAGAUACCCUGGUAGUCCACGCAGUAAACGAUGAUAACUUGUUGUCGGCGAUAGAGUGUCGGUGACAAAGCGAAAGCGAUAAGUUAUCCACCUGGGGAGUACGAUCGCAAGGUUGAAACUCAAAGGAAUUGACGGGGGCCCGCACAAGCGGAGGAGCAUGUGGUUUAAUUCGAUGAUACGCGAGGAACCUUACCUGGACUCAAAUGUUGACUGACAGGACCAGAAAUGGUCUCUUCCUUCGGGACAGUUAGCAAGGUGCUGCAUGGUUGUCGUCAGCUCGUGCCGUGAGGUGUCAGGUUAAGUCCUAUAACGAGCGCAACCCCUACGUCCGGUUGCCAGCGGGUAAAGCCGGGGACUCUGGAGGGACUGCCGGCGCAAGCCGAGAGGAAGGUGGGGAUGACGUCAAAUCAGCACGGCCCUUACGUCCAGGGCGACACACGUGCUACAAUGGCCGGUACAGAGGGCAGCCACCUGGCGACAGGGAGCGAAUCUCGAAAGCCGGUCUCAGUUCGGAUCGGAGUCUGCAACUCGACUCCGUGAAGUUGG
RNAcentral lists this ribosomal RNA (601 nucleotides) under uncultured bacterium. RNAcentral's name for it is "bacterial SSU rRNA". It matches the Rfam family "Bacterial small subunit ribosomal RNA", at positions 724 to 1329 of the family's 1533-position model. The record is from RNAcentral.